This 533-nucleotide ribosomal RNA is filed under the name uncultured bacterium. RNAcentral describes it as "bacterial SSU rRNA". It matches the Rfam family "Bacterial small subunit ribosomal RNA", at positions 774 to 1304 of the family's 1533-position model. The record is from RNAcentral.
ACGUAAUAGAUACCCUGGUAGUCCACGCCCUAAACGAUGUCUACUAGUUGUUGGUGGAGUAAAAUCCAUGAGUAAACGCAGCUAAACGCGUGAAGUAGACCGCCUGGGGAGUACGGUCGCAAGAUUAAAACUCAAAUGAAUUGACGGGGGCCCGCACAAGCGGUGGAUUAUGUGGAUUAAUUCGAUGCAACGCGAAAACCUUACCUGGCCUUGACAUGUAACGAACUUUCCAGAGAUGGAUUGGUGCUCGAAAGAGAGCGUUAACACAGGUGCUGCAUGGCUGUCGUCAGCUCGUGUCGUGAGAUGUUGGGUUAAGUCCCGCAACGAGCGCAACCCUUGCCAUUAAUUGCCAUCAUUUAGUUGGGCACUUUAAUGGGACUGCCGGUGACAAACCGGAGGAAGGUGGGGAUGACGUCAAGUCCUCAUGGCCCUUAUGGCCAGGGCUUCACACGUAAUACAAUGGUCGGUACAGAGAGUUGCCAACCCGCGAGGGGAGCCAAUCUCAGAAAGCCGAUCGUAGUCCGGAUUGUAGU